This 433-nucleotide ribosomal RNA is filed under the name uncultured bacterium. Its description in RNAcentral is "partial 16S ribosomal RNA". It matches the Rfam family "Bacterial small subunit ribosomal RNA", at positions 29 to 507 of the family's 1533-position model. The record is from RNAcentral.
AACGAACGCUGGCGGCAUGCCUAACACAUGCAAGUCGAACGAGACCUUCGGGUCUAGUGGCGCACGGGUGCGUAAGCCGUGGGAACCGGCCCUUGGGUCCGAAUUAACUCCCCGAAAGGGGUGCCAUAACGGGACAUGGUCUUCGACCAAAAGAUUUAUCGCCUUUGGUUGGGCCCGCGUUGGAUUAGCUAGUUGGUAGGGUAAAAGCCUACCAAGGCGACGAUCCAUAGCUGGUCUGAGAGGAUGAUCAGCCACACUGGGACUGAGACACGGCCCAGACUCCUACGGGAGGCAGCAGUGGGGAAUAUUGGACAAUGGGCGAAAGCCUGAUCCAGCAAUGCCGCGUGAGUGAUGAAGGCCUUAGGGUUGUAAAGCUCUUUUACCCGGGAUGAUAAUGACAGUACCGGGAGAAUAAGCUCCGGCUAACUCCGUG